AGAGCGAACGCUGGCGGCAGGCUUAACACAUGCAAGUCGAGCGGGCGUAGCAAUACGUCAGCGGCAGACGGGUGAGUAACGCGUGGGAACAUACCUUUUGGUUCGGAACAACACAGGGAAACUUGUGCUAAUACCGGAUAAGCCCUUACGGGGAAAGAUUUAUCGCCGAAAGAUUGGCCCGCGUCUGAUUAGCUAGUUGGUGAGGUAAUGGCUCACCAAGGCGACGAUCAGUAGCUGGUCUGAGAGGAUGAUCAGCCACAUUGGGACUGAGACACGGCCCAAACUCCUACGGGAGGCAGCAGUGGGGAUAUUGCGCAAUGGGCGGAAGCCUGACGCAGCGACGCCGCGUGGGGGAUGAAGGCCUUCGGGUUGUAAACCCUUUCACCAGGAGCGAAUCAAGACGGUACCUGGGAAGAAGCGCCGGCUAACUACGUGCCAGCAGCCGC
RNAcentral lists this ribosomal RNA (446 nucleotides) under uncultured bacterium. RNAcentral's name for it is "SSU rRNA". It matches the Rfam family "Bacterial small subunit ribosomal RNA", at positions 26 to 518 of the family's 1533-position model. The record is from RNAcentral.